ACAGCAGUAGCCGCGGGAAUACGAAGGGUGCAAGCGUUACUCGGAAUUACUGGGCGUAAAGCGUGCGUAGGUGGUGGUUUAAGUCCGUUGUGAAAGCCCUGGGCUCAACCUGGGAAUUGCAGUGGAUACUGGGUCACUAGAGUGUGGUAGAGGAUAGUGGAAUUUCCGGUGUAGCAGUGAAAUGCGUAGAGAUCGGAAGGAACAUCUGUGGCGAAGGCGACUAUCUGGGCCAACACUGACACUGAGGCACGAAAGCGUGGGGAGCAAACAGGAUUAGAUACCCGUGUAGUCCCUGUCUCUUAUAC
Molecule: ribosomal RNA, 305 nt
Filed under: uncultured bacterium
Lineage: Bacteria
Description: partial 16S ribosomal RNA
Rfam family: Bacterial small subunit ribosomal RNA
Source: RNAcentral